GCCUACAUGCAGUUUUUUGUCAGGUCGACAGUCCAGUGAGUGAGUUAAAGAUAGCAGCACUAAAGGACGAGUAUGGCGAGUGGAGGCGAUUAGAUAAUG
Molecule: long non-coding RNA, 99 nt
Organism: Sander lucioperca (pikeperch)
Lineage: Eukaryota; Metazoa; Chordata; Actinopteri; Perciformes; Percidae
Exons: 3
Source: RefSeq, a predicted model, not a curated record